RNAcentral lists this ribosomal RNA (510 nucleotides) under uncultured bacterium. RNAcentral's name for it is "partial 16S ribosomal RNA". It matches the Rfam family "Bacterial small subunit ribosomal RNA", at positions 28 to 507 of the family's 1533-position model. The record is from RNAcentral.
GACGAACGCUGGCGGCGUGCUUAACACAUGCAAGUCGAACGAUGAGCGAUGGAUUCUUGCUUCUAUCAAUCUGAGUGGCGGGCGGGUGACUCACGCGUAAUCAACCUCCCCUUCAGAGGUGGACCCCAGUUGCGAACGACUACUCAUACCGCAUACUAUCUAAUCUCUGCAUCGAGGUUAGAUGCAAGGUGGCCUCUACGUGUAAGCUCUCCCUGAAGGAGGGGAUUGCGUCUGAUUAGCUCGUUGGAUGGGUAACGGCCCACCAAGGCGAUGAUCAGUAGGCGGGCUGGGAGGCUGAACGGGCAGACUGGGACUGAGACAAGGCCCAGACGCCUAAGAGAGGCAGCAGAGGGGGAACUGGCGAAAAGGACGAAAGGCGGACGGAGCAAAGCCGGGGGAGUGACGACGGCCAUCGGGUUGUAAAGGUUGGUUAAUCGGGACGAAAGGGCUUCUGGCGAAUAGAGAGAAGGAUUGACGGUACCGGAAAAGAAAGCCACGGCUAACUACGUG